CGAGCGGCACCUUCGGGUGUAGCGGCGGACGGGUGAGUAACGCGUGGGAACGUACCUUUGCUACGGAAUAGCCUCGGGAAACUGAGAGUAAUACCGUAUGUGCCCUUUGGGGGAAAGAUUUAUCGGCAAAGGAUCGGCCCGCGUUGGAUUAGGUAGUUGGUGGGGUAAUGGCCUACCAAGCCGACGAUCCAUAGCUGGUUUGAGAGGAUGACCAGCCACACUGGGACUGAGACACGGCCCAGACUCCUACGGGAGGCAGCAGUGGGGAAUCUUAGACAAUGGGGGCAACCCUGAUCUAGCCAUGCCGCGUGGACGAUGAAGGCCCUAGGGUUGUAAAGUCCUUUUCAGUGGGGAAGAUAAUGACGGUACCCACAGAAGAAGGCCCGGCUAACUCCGUGCCAGCAGCCGCGGUAAUACGGAGGGGGCUAGCGUUGUUCGGAAUUACUGGGCGUAAAGCGCGCGUAGGCGGAUCAGAAAGUCAGAGGUGAAAUCCCAGGGCUCAACCUUGGAACUGUCUUUGAAACUCCUGGUCUUGAGUUCGAGAGAGGUGAGUGGAAUUCCGAGUGUAGAGGUGAAAUUCGUAGAUAUUCGGAGGAACACCAGUGGCGAAGGCGGCUCACUGGCUCGAUACUGACGCUGAGGUGCGAAAGCGUGGGGAGCAAACA
RNAcentral lists this ribosomal RNA (665 nucleotides) under uncultured bacterium. RNAcentral's name for it is "bacterial SSU rRNA". It matches the Rfam family "Bacterial small subunit ribosomal RNA", at positions 63 to 774 of the family's 1533-position model. The record is from RNAcentral.